AAUUUUCAAAUUCAAAAAUGAAAUAGAGAAAGAGAAAUAGAAUGGAAUGGAAAAGAUCAAAAAUCAAUAAAAUUAAGGCGGAUAGAAAAACUUAUUAGAUACCAUGGAUUCGGAUAUCUAAUAAGUUAUACCUACUAUUGGAUUUGAACCAAUGACUCCUGCCGUAUGAAAGCAAUACUCUAACCACUGAGUUAAGUAGGUAAUUUAGAAUCAAAAAGAGAAAGAAAUGGAACCUGUCACAUCGAUGGAUUAUAAAUGUAAUAUUAUUUAUAAGCAAUAUCGA
This is a long non-coding RNA of Populus euphratica (Euphrates poplar), 283 nucleotides long. RefSeq lists it as uncharacterized. NCBI's taxonomy places the organism in Eukaryota, Viridiplantae, Streptophyta, Magnoliopsida, Malpighiales, Salicaceae. The record is from RefSeq and is a predicted model, not a curated record. The transcript is spliced from 2 exons.